RNAcentral lists this transfer RNA (70 nucleotides) under unidentified. Its description in RNAcentral is "Dimorphopterus gibbus tRNA-Ser". It matches the Rfam family "tRNA". Rfam says of the family: Transfer RNA (tRNA) molecules are approximately 80 nucleotides in length. Their secondary structure includes four short double-helical elements and three loops (D, anti-codon, and T loops). Further hydrogen bonds mediate the characteristic L-shaped molecular structure. tRNAs have two regions of fundamental functional importance: the anti-codon, which is responsible for specific mRNA codon recognition, and the 3' end, to which the tRNAs corresponding amino acid is attached (by aminoacyl-tRNA synthetases). tRNAs cope with the degeneracy of the genetic code in two manners: having more than one tRNA (with a specific anti-codon) for a particular amino acid; and 'wobble' base-pairing, i.e. permitting non-standard base-pairing at the 3rd anti-codon position. The record is from RNAcentral.
AGUUAUUUAAACUUUAGAUAAGUUUAUAUUUUGAAAAUAUAAGAAAAUGGUUAAAUUCCAUUAAUAACUU